UACGUAGGGUCCAAGCGUUAAUCGGAAUUACUGGGCGUAAAGCGUGCGCAGGCGGUUGUGUAAGACAGAUGUGAAAUCCCCGAGCUUAACUUGGGAACUGCAUUUGUGACUGCACGGCUAGAGUGUGUCAGAGGGGGGUAGAAUUCCACGUGUAGCAGUGAAAUGCGUAGAUAUGUGGAGGAAUACCAAUGGCGAAGGCAGCCCCCUGGGAUAACACUGACGCUCAUGCACGAAAGCGUGGGGAGCAAACAGG
This 253-nucleotide ribosomal RNA is filed under the name uncultured bacterium. RNAcentral describes it as "partial 16S ribosomal RNA". It matches the Rfam family "Bacterial small subunit ribosomal RNA", at positions 524 to 776 of the family's 1533-position model. The record is from RNAcentral.